UGCUCUUCUUUGAGAUAGCACGAAACGUGG
This 30-nucleotide non-coding RNA is filed under the name Rattus norvegicus (Norway rat). Lineage: Eukaryota; Metazoa; Chordata; Mammalia; Rodentia; Muridae. The record is from RNAcentral.